GACUCGGUAGCUCAGUUGGUAGAGCACAUCCCUUUUAAGGAUGGGGUCCUGGGUUCGAGACCCAGCCGAGUCAC
RNAcentral lists this transfer RNA (74 nucleotides) under Salinivirga cyanobacteriivorans. RNAcentral describes it as "tRNA-Lys". It matches the Rfam family "tRNA". Rfam says of the family: Transfer RNA (tRNA) molecules are approximately 80 nucleotides in length. Their secondary structure includes four short double-helical elements and three loops (D, anti-codon, and T loops). The record is from RNAcentral. Lineage: Bacteria; Pseudomonadati; Bacteroidota; Bacteroidia; Bacteroidales; Salinivirgaceae.